Molecule: ribosomal RNA, 305 nt
Filed under: uncultured bacterium
Lineage: Bacteria
Description: partial 16S ribosomal RNA
Rfam family: Bacterial small subunit ribosomal RNA
Source: RNAcentral
ACAGCAGUAGCCGCGGUAAUACGAGGGGUGCAAGCGUUAUUCGGAUUGGUUGGGUGUAAAGGGUGUGCAGACGGCUUAUUAAGUCACUUGUUAAAUUCUUCGGCCUAACUGAAGGUCUGCAAGUGAUACUGAUGAGCUAGAGGGUGGAAGAGAGAAGUGGAAUUCUCGGAGUAGCGGUAAAAUGCGUAGAUCUCGAGAGGAACACCAAUGGCGAAGGCAGCUUCUUGGUCCAUUCCUGACGUUCAUACACGAAAGCGUGGGGAGCAAACAGGAUUAGAUACCCCCGUAGUCCCUGUCUCUUAUAC